GAUGAACGCUGGCGGCGUGCCUAAUACAUGCAAGUCGAGCGAACAGACGAGGAGCUUGCUCCUCUGACGUUAGCGGCGGACGGGUGAGUAACACGUGGAUAACCUACCUAUAAGACCGGGAUAACUUCGGGAAACCGGAGCUAAUACCGGAUAAUAUAUUGAACCGCAUGGUUCAAUAGUGAAAGACGGUUUUGCUGUCACUUAUAGAUGGAUCCGCGCCGCAUUAGCUAGUUGGUAAGGUAACGGCUUACCAAGGCAACGAUGCGUAGCCGACCUGAGAGGGUGAUCGGCCACACUGGAACUGAGACACGGUCCAGACUCCUACGGGAGGCAGCAGUAGGGAAUCUUCCGCAAUGGGCGAAGGCCUGACGGAGCAACGCCGCGUGAGUGAUGAAGGUCUUCGGAUCGUAAAACUCUGUUAUUAGGGAAGAACAAAUGUGUAAGUAACUAUGCACGUCUUGACGGUACCUAAUCAGAAAGCCACGGCUAACUACGUG
This 497-nucleotide ribosomal RNA is filed under the name uncultured bacterium. RNAcentral's name for it is "partial 16S ribosomal RNA". It matches the Rfam family "Bacterial small subunit ribosomal RNA", at positions 28 to 507 of the family's 1533-position model. The record is from RNAcentral.